Molecule: unclassified non-coding RNA, 300 nt
Rfam family: Eukaryotic small subunit ribosomal RNA (bases 1-46)
AAGUCGUAACAAGGUUUCCGUAGGUGAACCUGCGGAAGGAUCAUUAACGAAUCGCGUGGGUUUUGGCCCACAAGUGAGUGCGGCGGGUCUUAAUUGGCCUGUUGAACAACACAACACAUUUGCGAAGGGAACUUUUGAGUGGUGCUGUGAGAUGGAAUUGGAUGGAUGGAUGGAUACGGGAAGUGUGGUAUACUCUACUGCAUCCGCUCUUAUUUAUUCAUAUGUUCAUGCCCUCUCCACAACACAGUCUGACUGAUUGAUUCAUAAUAGUAAACAACUUUUAACAAUGGAUCUCUUGGC